AGACGCCGACUUUAGCGUUUCCGAGAUGAAGACGCCCUCGAGAAUACGGUUGAUUCAGUGGGGCGCCUGAGGAGACAUGCAGGUGGCCAACAGGCACAGGAAAAGAUGCCAGCAUCGCUAAUUAUCAGAGAAAUACAAACCAAAAUCACAGCGAGGUGCCACCCCACACUGGACAGAACGGCCAUCAUCAGAGGCUGCGGAUGGUAACGACCAGGGCGAGGCGGAGAAGAGGAACGUUCGUACCCUGUUCGGGGAGGCGUGAAGCGGCUCGGCCACUCCCGAAACCAGUACAGAGGUGCUUUAAAACCAAAAUUAGAGCUACCAUCUUAUCGAUUAAUCUUACUCCUGGGCCUCUAUCUGGAAAACAUGAAACUCUUCAUUUGAGAAGAUAACGCAUCCCGUGUUCAUAGCAGCACGAUUUAUAAUGGCAAAGACAUGGAAGCUCCCGAAGUGUUCGACAGCAUGUGAAUGAACAGAGAAGAUGUGGUACAAUAUAUGCAGUGGAAUAUUGCUCAGCCAUGAAAAAGAAUGAUGUGAUGCCAUUUUCAGCAACAUGGUGGACCUAGGAAAAUGUACUUGCCAAAGUAAGUCAAACAGGGAAGGACAGGCAUUACAGGACAUCAGGUACAUGCAGAAUCUAAAAAAAGAAUACAAAUGAAUCUAUGUACAAAAUAGAAGCAAACUCACGGAUACAGAAAAUGAAUUUACGGCUUCCAAAGGGGGGAGAGAGGGAAGGCGGGGUAAACUAGGAGCGUGGGGUUAACAAAUAUCAUUACACAGAAAAUACAGAAGUAACAAAGAUUUCCUGUGUAGCAGAUAUUACAUAUCUUGUAAUAACCUAUAGUGGAAUAUAAUCUGAAAAAAUAUAUGUAACCGAACCACUUUGCUGUAGCACUAAAAUUGACACAAUAGGAGUUCCCGUCAUGGCGCAGUGGUUAACGAAUCUGACCAGGAGCCAUGAGGUUGCGGGUUUGACCCUGGCCUUGCUCAGCGGGUUAAGGAUCCGGCGUUGCCGUGAGCUGUGGUGCAGGUUGCAGACACGGCUCGGAUCCUGCAUGGCUGUGGCUCUGGCGUAGGCCGGUGGCUACAGCUCCGAUUCGACCCUUAGCCCGGGAACCUCCAUAUGCCGUGGAAGUGGCUCAAGAAAAGGCAAAAAGAUGAAAAAAUAAAUAAAUAAAAUUG
This 1182-nucleotide long non-coding RNA is filed under the name Sus scrofa (pig). RNAcentral describes it as "lncRNA (ENSSSCG00045028062.1)". The record is from RNAcentral. Lineage: Eukaryota; Metazoa; Chordata; Mammalia; Artiodactyla; Suidae.